AACGAACGCUGGCGGCAGGCCUAACACAUGCAAGUCGAGCGAAGUCUUCGGACUUAGCGGCGGACGGGUGAGUAACGCGUGGGAACGUGCCCUUAGGUGCGGAACAACAGUUGGAAACGACUGCUAAUACCGCAUGAUGUCUACGGACCAAAGAUUUAUCGCCUAGGGAUCGGCCCGCGUUGGAUUAGGUAGUUGGUGGGGUAAUGGCCUACCAAGCCGACGAUCCAUAGCUGGUUUGAGAGAACGACCAGCCACACUGGGACUGAGACACGGCCCAGACUCCUACGGGAGGCAGCAGUGGGGAAUCAUAGACAAUGGCGCAAGCCUGAUCUUGCCAUGCCGCGUGAACGAUGAAGGCCUUAGGGUUGUAAAGUUCUUUCACCGGUGACGAUAAUGACGGUAGCCGGAGAAGAAGCCCCGGCUAAC
RNAcentral lists this ribosomal RNA (426 nucleotides) under uncultured bacterium. RNAcentral's name for it is "bacterial SSU rRNA". It matches the Rfam family "Bacterial small subunit ribosomal RNA", at positions 29 to 501 of the family's 1533-position model. The record is from RNAcentral.